RNAcentral lists this long non-coding RNA (645 nucleotides) under Fukomys damarensis (Damara mole-rat). Its description in RNAcentral is "lncRNA (ENSFDAG00000030475.1)". The record is from RNAcentral. Lineage: Eukaryota; Metazoa; Chordata; Mammalia; Rodentia; Bathyergidae.
UGCCAGACUGUCUUUGGAACCAGGCUGCAGUUCCAUUUUCUCUUUCAGCCCCUGGAACAGAGCCAGGAAAUGAUAGAGUUGCCGGCACAGGGACAGUGGGGUGGGGAGGGGGAGCAAACGCUCCCUGCAUUCGCUGUCACAGUCAUCUCUGAAAGAGCACUUCACAGAUCAGAGUGCAAUUACUCCAUUAUUCCUCCACAGCCAGGAAAAGUCUCCCUCUCCACAGCUCCGUGGCAGUCGCUACAGAUUCUACUGCUAAUCACGUCUUCCAGAUGUUGCUUGGAAAGGAUCCGUUGCACAAAGCUUGCCCCUUGCAGCAGGGCUCAAGGUUGGCACCCUGCUCAUCCCGGUCCGAGCCUGUUUGGCUGUGGACAUAUGGCAGAUACUCAAAGCUAUGGGCUGGUCAGAGAAGAGCUGAAUUAUGGGAAAGGUCAGUAUACUGAAAAUGUGUCAGAUCAACCCCAUCAGCGCCUGCUGUUGGAAAGGCACCGGGCCAGGUGCUGGGGAUACAGCAAGGAUGUAUCAGGUCCUACUCUGAGGAAGCUCAGAAUUCAGUCAGAAGUGCAAGAUACAAGCACCUAAUCAGUCAAAGGGCAAUGGAGAUUAUUUAAAUUGAAGCAAGCAUCAGGCCUGCACAGUGGCCCC